Molecule: ribosomal RNA, 440 nt
Filed under: uncultured bacterium
Lineage: Bacteria
Description: partial 16S ribosomal RNA
Rfam family: Bacterial small subunit ribosomal RNA
Source: RNAcentral
CCUACGGGUGGCAGCAGUGGGGAAUAUUGCACAAUGGGGGAAACCCUGAUGCAGCGACGCCGCGUGAGUGAAGAAGUAUUUCGGUAUGUAAAGCUCUAUCAGCAGGGAAGAAAAUGACGGUACCUGACUAAGAAGCCCCGGCUAACUACGUGCCAGCAGCCGCGGUAAUACGUAGGGGGCAAGCGUUAUCCGGAUUUACUGGGUGUAAAGGGAGCGUAGACGGCAGCACAAGUCUGGAGUGAAAUGCCAGGGCUUAACCAUGGAACUGCUUUGGAAACUGUGCAGCUAGAGUGCAGGAGAGGUAAGUGGAAUUCCUAGUGUAGCGGUGAAAUGCGUAGAUAUUAGGAGGAACACCAGUGGCGAAGGCGGCUUACUGGACUGUAACUGACGUUGAGGCUCGAAAGCGUGGGGAGCAAACAGGAUUAGAUACCCUAGUAGUC